RNAcentral lists this long non-coding RNA (1753 nucleotides) under Salmo salar (Atlantic salmon). RNAcentral's name for it is "lncRNA (ENSSSAG00000103652.1, ENSSSAG00000121962.1)". The record is from RNAcentral. Lineage: Eukaryota; Metazoa; Chordata; Actinopteri; Salmoniformes; Salmonidae.
GACAUUUGCGCAUCUCCCGUCAGAACAGGAACUGCACACGUGUUCACAUUUUCCGUCUGUUGCCCGCAUCGCAGUCAUUGUUGUUUUUGUUACCAAUAAUAACUUUGGAAAUGUGUGCGUUUCUAUCAAAGUGGUCCACCUUCCCAGUGGCCGACAUGGUUGCUGUAUGGACAGUGGAGAGGACAUGGACGUCUCAUUUGUCAUGCCACUUUACUGCCAGCUGUUGAACGUUCUCCUUGAACUCCACCUCCCCUCUCUGCAUCUUCCUGCAUCCGAGUGCCAGCAUCCACCCCUGUUCGACCUGACUGUGCCACAGGCCCUUGUGCUGUUGGAGAGCAGAUGCUGGAAGAGUGUGGGACUGCUGUAACAAUUGUCCACAUACAAAGUGUGUCGCUUGCUGAGAUGAGGAGCCAGCAUGGUCAUCACCACGGACCCGGACACCCCAAGCCCAUCGUAAUGUUGGAUGUCAGUGGUGGACCCUGUGUAAACUAUAAUGUCCUGGACCAAUCCUGUCUUCACGUCGCACAUGCCAAAGAACUUGACCCCAAACCUUUGCCUUUUGGAGGGGUUAUAUUGACGGAACGCCAGCCUACCUUUCCCUAACAUCAGCUCCAAGGCAUAGCGAUUGGUCUCCUCUACUAUGUCUCCCACCAGCUCCUCUGUCAGAAACAACUUGAAGCACUCUGCCUCAGGUGGAAAUGGCAAGGGGUGUUGCACUCCAGACUGGGACUCAUCAAAGCAAAGAGCAAGGCCAGGAGGGGUGAAAUGGCUGUCAGCCUUCCAGCUACCACAGAACUCCUGUACUUCAUCCACUGUCGGUCUGCCUCCAUCACCACCAGCAUCUUCAAAGGUACCUGGGACUUCGUCAGUGGACAAGGAGUCCUCAGAUUCAGGGUUCUCAAUGGCUACAAGGUUGGGGGGCAGCUACUUACUGUCAGAAUUUGUAAGAUUUUCUACUUAGUGUGCCUCUAACAUGCACCAAGCUAACAAACGUUAUUACCAUGAAUUGCAGCUAUUACACAUGUUUUCCACUAACCAACUAGUUAUGUCUCAAUGCAGCUUACACAAGCAAACUGAUGUUUCCACUCACAGCACAUAACAGGAACUGGCCCAACCACAAGCCUGCGGGGGCCCCAUCUCGUGAUAACAGCAACAGUGUCUGGCAUGCCCGACCCUGUGAAAACAGGAACAGGAACACGCACACACACAUAAGCCAUAGCUUAUCCAAGGCACACACACCCUUAUUUAGAGCUUUGAUAGAAACCUAACAUCAUCAGAACAUUGGACCUGAGCCAACCAGAGGAUCGGGACUUCAAGACUCAACCUACUUUCUGUGUUGUAUAAAACAUGUAAACAAACUGUUUUAGGCACUCUCUUCCGCUGGCUCCCUCAGAGCUACUGGAACGAGUCCGUGCACACUGUACCAAAUAUCUUCACUCUGAAUAAACUAUCGCUUGUCAUAUAAUUUAGCGCCUUGUCCGAAUCAGUCCUUGACCGACUCUCCCUUCUUCUCAUUCCAUUUACCAACAAUACUCAGACUUAUUGUCAGAACUUUUUUUAAAUCUCAAGAAUUUCCGCAUUUGUGAGCUGUCUCCUUUUGAAAGACAUUGCUAAUGCUACAGCUUAGCUCACUAGCUACAUACAUAAACAACAACACUGAUUGGCUCGAAGUGGGAGUGAGAGGUUACGUGAUUGACUGCCGACAUGCGCCACUUGUAUCAAUAAAUCCCUAUCAGAAAAUGUUGUGCGUGGU